UACGUAGGGCGCAAGCGUUGUCCGGAAUUAUUGGGCGUAAAGAGCUCGUAGGCGGCUUGUCACGUCGGUUGUGAAAGCCCGGGGCUUAACCCCGGGUCUGCAGUCGAUACGGGCAGGCUAGAGUUCGGUAGGGGAGAUCGGAAUUCCUGGUGUAGCGGUGAAAUGCGCAGAUAUCAGGAAGAACACCUAUGGCGAAGGCAGCACUCUGGGACGGUACUGACGCUGAGACGCGAAAGCGUGGGGAGCGAACAGG
Molecule: ribosomal RNA, 253 nt
Filed under: uncultured bacterium
Lineage: Bacteria
Description: partial 16S ribosomal RNA
Rfam family: Bacterial small subunit ribosomal RNA
Source: RNAcentral